GCCUUCUUAGCUCAGUUGGUAGAGCAACGCUUUCGUAAAGCGUGGGUCGCAGGUUCAAGUCCUGUAGAAGGCU
This 73-nucleotide transfer RNA is filed under the name Cyclobacteriaceae bacterium. RNAcentral describes it as "tRNA-Thr". It matches the Rfam family "tRNA". Rfam says of the family: Transfer RNA (tRNA) molecules are approximately 80 nucleotides in length. Lineage: Bacteria; Pseudomonadati; Bacteroidota; Cytophagia; Cytophagales; Cyclobacteriaceae. The record is from RNAcentral.